AUGCGAUAAUUAAUGUGAAUUGCAGAAUUCAGUGAAUCAUCGAGUCUUUGAACGCACAUUGCGCCCCAUGGCAUUCCGUGGGGCAUGCCCGUCUCAGAGUUAGUAAAACCAUCUCAGGCUGCAGCUUUUGUUGCUCUGUCUGGAUUAUAUCAAAGAAGUAGAGUUAAGUCUACUCUUUGCAAAGAAAUAGAUACCUUGAAAACUUGCUUGAGGCCAACGUAAUAAGAAAAUCCGGUGGUCAAAAGUUUCUUGAGGUUUUUUAUUUUUGGCAAGCCAAAAUUUUUUAUUAGGAAUUUAACCUGAGAUCGGGUAGGGAUACCCGCUGAACUUAA
This 332-nucleotide ribosomal RNA is filed under the name uncultured Hydnobolites. Its description in RNAcentral is "eukaryotic LSU rRNA". The stretch from base 1 to 102 matches the Rfam family "5.8S ribosomal RNA", at positions 53 to 154 of the family's 154-position model. The record is from RNAcentral. Lineage: Eukaryota; Fungi; Ascomycota; Pezizomycetes; Pezizales; Pezizaceae.